This 429-nucleotide ribosomal RNA is filed under the name Gemmatimonadota bacterium. Its description in RNAcentral is "Gemmatimonadetes bacterium partial 16S ribosomal RNA". It matches the Rfam family "Bacterial small subunit ribosomal RNA", at positions 355 to 776 of the family's 1533-position model. Lineage: Bacteria; Pseudomonadati; Gemmatimonadota. The record is from RNAcentral.
UAGGGAAUCUUCGGCAAUGGACGAAAGUCUGACCGAGCAACGCCGCGUGAGUGAAGAAGGUUUUCGGAUCGUAAAACUCUGUUGUUAGAGAAGAACAAGGACGUUAGUAACUGAACGUCCCCUGACGGUAUCUAACCAGAAAGCCACGGCUAACUACGUGCCAGCAGCCGCGGUAAUACGUAGGUGGCAAGCGUUGUCCGGAUUUAUUGGGCGAAAAGCGAGCGCAGGCGGUUUCUUAAGUCUGAUGUCAAAGCCCCCGGCUCAACCGGGGAGGGUCAUUGGAAACUGGGAGACUUGACUGCAGAAGAGGAGAGUGGAAUUCCAUGUGUAGCGGUGAAAUGCGUAGAUAUAUGGAGGAACACCAGUGGCGAAGGCGGCUCUCUGGUCUGUAACUGACGCUGAGGCUCGAAAGCGUGGGGAGCAAACAGG